RNAcentral lists this ribosomal RNA (766 nucleotides) under uncultured bacterium. RNAcentral's name for it is "bacterial SSU rRNA". It matches the Rfam family "Bacterial small subunit ribosomal RNA", at positions 59 to 838 of the family's 1533-position model. The record is from RNAcentral.
CAGUCGAACGAGCGAGAGGAGGUUUACUUUCUCAAGCGAGUGGCGAACGGGUGCGUUACGCGUGAGGAACCUGCCUCAAAGAGGGGGACAACAGUUGGAAACGACUGCUAAUACCGCAUAAGCCCACGACCCGGCAUCGGGUAGAGGGAAAAGGAGCAAUCCGCUUUGAGAUGGCCUCGCGUCCGAUUAGCUAGUUGGUGAGGUAAUGGCCCACCAAGGCGACGAUCGGUAGCCGGACUGAGAGGUUGAACGGCCACAUUGGGACUGAGACACGGCCCAGACUCCUACGGGAGGCAGCAGUGGGGAAUAUUGCACAAUGGGGGAAACCCUGAUGCAGCGACGCCGCGUGGAGGAAGAAGGUCUUCGGAUUGUAAACUCCUGUUGUUGAGGAAGAUAAUGACGGUACUCAACAAGGAAGUGACGGCUAACUACGUGCCAGCAGCCGCGGUAAAACGUAGGUCACAAGCGUUGUCCGGAAUUACUGGGUGUAAAGGGAGCGCAGGCGGGAAGACAAGUUGGAAGUGAAAUCCAUGGGCUCAACCCAUGAACUGCUUUCAAAACUGUUUUUCUUGAGUAGUGCAGAGGUAGGCGGAAUUCCCGGUGUAGCGGUGGAAUGCGUAGAUAUCGGGAGGAACACCAGUGGCGAAGGCGGCCUACUGGGCACCAACUGACGCUGAGGCUCGAAAGUGUGGGUAGCAAACAGGAUUAGAUACCCUGGUAGUCCACACUGUAAACGAUGAUUACUAGGUGUUGGAGGAUUGACCCC